UAUAAAAUAAUAUCCUUUGCAUAGUCUAUUUAAAUGAUCAGCCAUAAACAGAAGUUCAAAGCCUACUAGAAGGCUCUCAUUGUGAAAAAUGAUUUGGUCUUAGAGACUUAUGUUACGCACUAGUAAGGGUUGGAGAAAGUAACUGAAUAAGUAUGUGUAAAGAAUUUUUUUUUUUUAAAGCGAGUCAGAAAACCGAUGGGCAAAUGGGCAGCGGACCACCAGCUCUGCUCCUGGUCGGCCAACAGUGGUCCACUGGUAUUUUGCUAUCAGGGAUAGUUCAGACCGGAAAGCAAAUCCUGUGAUAGGCUACGUUUUGCAAGUAUGAAAUUACAAUUGCAAUUAGUUUUUUUUUGCAGAUUGUUCUGCAGGGUCUGGUUAUAUCAGGCUAGCAUGAGAUAAUUAAGUGGCGUAUUUCCUCCCCCAGGAGAGCAUUAAGUGUAAAAGGCACGGUCUACGACCGUAAUUUCAUACACUUUUUGUUAAAUUCAGCGAUUUUUUCCAUCUAGCCGUUAGCGUUCAAAAAAUGGGGUUCAUGCACAGACCUGGCUAUGUAAAUGUGAAACAAACAUAGUGACUUGGACCGAGCCGUUAACAAUCCCAGCCAAUUAACAAGGUGUCAUUUGCUUGGCUGUUGAGCUCAAAUAUCACCUUUCGCGAAACCGAAAUCGCGGACUGUAUCUUUAAGUUCCUGUUUACAACUCUGACAAUCAUCCCGAAUGUUACAGUAGCCUAGCUUUAGAUUAUUGACAAAUUAAAAUGUGUGCAUUGACAGAGCUUAGCCUAACCUGUCACAGAAACCCAUGCAUUGAUAGCCAACUGUCACUGCUUAGCUAUAGAUAAACCACACCGCUGUAGGACAACUUAUGUCCACGUGUCUAUCAAAGAUCAUGUUGGACUUUGACUCAGGACCCAUUGCGAUUUAGCCGCCACAAAGGUACUUUCAAGACAAUGCUGACGCAACAACAAUUGUGACAACCGGACAACUGUGUCAUGGCACCGCGCUGUUACAUCAGAGUAUGACAAACAUCGUUCUGACCAAAAUGAACUCGACACAAGUAAAAAUCAAACUUGCAAGGGGUUAAUGUACCUCUGUAGCCAGAUGCUACAGGACACGUUUUAAGCAGCAUAAUUUCGGUAUGAAGUGCCAUUCAAAAAGAGACAGAGGACCAGGUCAUGGUGGGCAGGCAAACAGGAAGAGGGAUAAGCGGGGACGACAGCCAUGCAGCGUGAGAAAGCUGAGAUCUAACAGGAAAAAAAGCAAUGAAUUGAAAUGGGAGAGAGAGAGAGGGGGACCCGACAAGAGAGAUUGUUUGAAGAAGAAGGGGCCACACAGCAAGUCCACACCCAGCCCCAUGCCUCCUGUGACAGUCAAGGAGGGAGAGAAGGGUAAAGAGACCUGUGAGGAGAGAGAGAUAGAUAACAAGGAGAUGGGAACUAGUGGUGUGGUGGAAGGUAAGAGGAGCAGUGGUGUGAGACAUGAGGUGAGACAGGUGAAGAGGCCGCUGAGGAAGAAACCGCACAUUUUCUACCUCAGAACCGAGUUGUGUCAGAGAACCUUGCUGUCAGUCACCAGAACCGCAUCAGGCUCUGAGGUCCCUCCAUCACCAGCGUCACCAUCACACAGCCUGGGAGCAAAUCAACCAGAUGAAUUCGUGAAGAUCUACAGCACCGGUGGCAUUCUGGGAAAGGGAGGGUGUGGGUCAGUCUACUCUGGAAUGAGGAAAUCAGACGGA
This is a long non-coding RNA of Clupea harengus (Atlantic herring), 1733 nucleotides long. RefSeq lists it as uncharacterized. The record is from RefSeq and is a predicted model, not a curated record. The transcript is spliced from 3 exons. Lineage: Eukaryota; Metazoa; Chordata; Actinopteri; Clupeiformes; Clupeidae.